CCUUAGCAAUCCGCCCCUUCGGGGAGCGGGUUGCUGGCCUCCUAUGUUCCUAACGGUCCUCGUCCGCGAGGGCGGGGAAUCAACCGCUAGGAUCGUUUACUUUGAGGAAAUUAGAGUGUUCAAAGCAGGCGUAACUCGCCUCCGAAUACGUUAGCAUGGGAUAAUGGAAUACGACUUCGGUCUUGUUUCGUUGGUUUCGCUUGGCUGAAGUAAUGAUUGAUAGGGACAGUUGGGGGCAUUAGUAUUUAGUUGUCAGAGGUGAAAUUCUAGGAUUUACUAAAGACUGACCAAUGCGAAAGCAUUUGCCAAGGAUGUUUUCAUUAAUCAAGAACGAAAGUAGGGGGAUCGAAGACGAUCAGAUACCGUCGUAGUCUCUACCGUAAACUAUGCCGACCAGGGAUCCGGAGAGUUUGCAUGGAUGACUCCCCGGGCACCUUGUGAGAAAUCAUAAGUGUUUGGGUUUUGGGGGGAGUAUGGUCGCAAGGCUGAAACUUAAAGGAAUUGACGGAAGGGCACCACCAGGAGUGGAACCUGCGGCUUAAUUUGACUCAACACGGGGAAACUUACGAGGUCAGGACACUGUGAGGAUUGACAGAUUGAUAGCUCUUUU
This 610-nucleotide ribosomal RNA is filed under the name Vermamoeba vermiformis. RNAcentral describes it as "SSU rRNA". It matches the Rfam family "Eukaryotic small subunit ribosomal RNA", at positions 722 to 1261 of the family's 1831-position model. The record is from RNAcentral. Lineage: Eukaryota; Tubulinea; Echinamoebida; Vermamoebidae.